Molecule: long non-coding RNA, 209 nt
Filed under: Bos taurus (domestic cattle)
Lineage: Eukaryota; Metazoa; Chordata; Mammalia; Artiodactyla; Bovidae
Description: long non-coding RNA NONBTAT009655
Source: RNAcentral
UCAGUGCUGCAAGUAUCACCAGAGAGGCUAUGAAAGAAUUUUUUUUUUAAUUUAUUGUAGAUGUAAACAGAAUUUUAAAAAGUAAAAAGUAUAAACAUCGCUGCACUGUGACUGGUGGGAAAAACUGACCGUUUCCUGUUUGCACAUGUUUAACAUUUGGCUGUUAUAAUAUAUGGUCCUCGGUUGGGGAAAGAUACUUAUGAUGAAGG